This is a long non-coding RNA of Cyprinus carpio carpio, 3406 nucleotides long. The record is from Ensembl. Lineage: Eukaryota; Metazoa; Chordata; Actinopteri; Cypriniformes; Cyprinidae.
AUAUAUAUAUAUAUAUAUAUAUAUAUAUAUAAUUGACAAUAGGCAGAUGCAAAAUAUAUAUAUACAAUGCAAAGAUCAAAUACAACAGGAGAUAAAUUAUUCUUAUGUGCUCAUUUAUGUGCUCAUUCUCAUUUAUGUUAGAACAUACCAUACACCAAAUGAUAAAAUAAGAUUUUGUAAAAUUAUCUACUGAACGUGAAAAAAAAGUGAAAGUAACAUGACAUACAGCCAAGUAUGAUGACCCAUACUCAGAAUUCGUGCUCUGCAUUUAACCCAUCCUACGUGCACACAAACAGCAGUGAACUAACACACACACACACACACACACACACACGGAGCAGUGGGCAGCCAUUUAUGCUGCGGCGCCCGAGGAGCUGCUGGGGGUUUGGUGCCUUGCUCAAUUGCACCUCAGUCGUGGUAUUGCCAACCCGAGACUCGAACCAACAACCUUAGGGUUAGGAGUCAGACUCUCUAACCACUAGGCCAUGACUUCCCCACAUGAAUCCAUGUAGCCUACUACGGAAAAAGUAACAUUUGCAGAAAAAUUCUCUGACUAUACGAGAAAAUAUUCCAGCAUAUUCCAGCACACGAAAAAAGACAGAAACAGUAACGCAAGUAUUAGAAGAUUUAUUGGAAAAAGGUUAGUGUACUUUUUGCCAUUGUAUUUUUUUGGUGUGGUAGGGGCACUUUUUGCCUCAGAUAUCAUGGUUAUAAUGUCGGCAAACGAGAAAGCUUAUUUAAUAUGAAUAAUCAUUUUAUGUGUUUGUAUGUGGGCAUACAGUAGCCUACUAAUGUUAGUUGAUAUGUCCUCAAACACCAGACACAUCUUAAUAUUAUGAAGGGCGAACUUUAUUAAUGACAUAAGACUGUAUCAAAAACUGAUAUCGGUUUGUGUGGGGGGGGACCACAGUAUUUUACUUUAAAACUCCCACAAAACACUUUUAAAUGGAUAAGAACAUCAGUGAAAUAACAUUGGUUUAAAAUCAGUCUUUUAUCCAUUCAUUGGAACAGAUUUGGAGAAAUUUAGCAUUAUAAAACUUGCUCACCAGUGGAUCUUCUGCAGAGAAUGGUUGCCAUCAGAAGUCCAAACAGUUGAUAGAAACAUCACAGUAACAGAGAUGACUCCUGUCUAUCAGUUAAUAUCUUGUGAAAGCUCCACAGUGCAGAUUUCCAGCAGGACACUGGAUCUCUCCCUCCGCAGACCAGGAUCAUCACCACUGACCCAGAACCAAUGACCAGCCAUAAAGCGCAGAUCAGUCCACACAUAAACUGUCUGGGAUGUUAUAGUAUAAUUUAUCACCUCUUCCAUAAUUGUCUCAGAACUUAGACUUGCCAGAUCAGUGUACUCUUUUCUGCAAUAGUCCAGGGCUUCAUCCCACGUCUUAUUCUGAUGAACCAAAACUGGGCUGAAGACCUUCAUACAGUAAAAAGAUAGAGUCUCAGAGCAUGGAAUGUUGUGCAGUUUAGAAGUGGAUAUUUUUAACCUGCCACAAUUUUCAGAAUAAUCAUCUGGUUGUUCGCUAUCCCAGUUGUCAAUUGGUUGCCUCUCACCUCCAGACCAAAUCCAUUUUUCUGGGUUGUUAGAACUUCUGUAUAGUCCAGCCCAUUUAAAAUGAUACACAGAAUCUGUAUAAACGCAAAACUUUUCUGCCUCUCCUUUAUUGAUGGUGGAAAGGUCGUCGUAGUAUUUUCUGCAGUAUUUCUGUUCAUCAUUCAGUCAUUUUUUUCCCCACAAAAUAAUGGAUUCUAUAGGCACUGAGGUACAGUCCAAAAAGACUCAAAAGUAAGAACACAUUGACUGCAGCCUUCAUUUCUGUAUGGACGAUUUACACAGUAAUGCCUAAGUGUGCACUCAACUACGAUGAUAUUAUGGCAUCUCUUAAAGAUUUUUAAUAAGAGACCAAUAAAAAAGCUGUAAGGGAACUGGCCAAUCAGAAGGUCUCACCCUUGAAGUAUUUGUGUAGCAAAUGUUUAAAUAAAUCAUGCAUCAUUGCAAAUAUUUUGAUAGUAAAGAAAACAGGUCAUGCACGUCAGACAAAGUAAAAAAAUAAAAUAAAAUAAAUAAUAAAAAAGCAAAGUUAAGUUAAGAGCACAACAUUCUGAUUUGACAUAAUAAUCAAUGAAACAAAUAAACAAAUAAAUAAAUAAAUAUAUUAUUAUGUAAUAUUUUCUAAGAAUGGGAAUUGUAGGGAAUUUAAUAGUUACAAUUCUGGUUCAUUGGUGGUUCCAUUAACACUUGUUUUACAUGGUAAAGAAAGAAAUACAUUUAGAAUAAAGCAAUGAAAUUAUUAUUACAUUGACAGUCCUCAGCAGUUUUUUUUUUUUUUUUUUUUAGAAAUAAAUGCAGUUGUUUCAAAAAGUGUUUACAUAGACUUUUAAUGACUUGACAACAGUUCUCGGUUCAUUUCGGACAUGACUCUGGAUUCACUAAAAAGAACCGGCUCAUGAGUUGCUCGUUCGGGAAUUUGAAGACCUACACAGUGUUGCCAAGUCCGCGUUUUUUUUUUUUCUUGUAAAAACCUGGCAACCCUGGCCCUACGUAUUUGAUUUAGAUACGAGUUAUUUGUUUGGGGAAAAGAAUCGGUUCAUGAGUCUUUCGUUUCCAAUGUUUGUGUUUCCCUCUGUAGAAUCAGACACGUUGUCAAUAAUUUAGUACGGUUUCCGUCCACAUCGAGCGUCAUAAAAUAGGCUUUUAUUUGGUUCCAGUACCAUUAAACGUUUUUCAGUUGUAAUUUGCCUAUGUAAAGCAUGCACCGCCAAGAGUCAUUUAAGAGUCGUUCAGCAGCAGCUGCACGAGCAGGUUUUGGACUUGAUCUUGAGGAUCACGCUUUUGCAGGUUUGUUUUAAUUGUUUACACAUUCAUAUUUGAUUUAUAAGCGUGUUUUAUUAUCUGUUGUAUCGCAUUACUAUUUAACUGUGUGAAAAACUUCUCCAAGCCAUUCAGUGGGUGAUCUCUCCAAUAAAUCCCGACCGCUGUGCUGCUAACCCGUUUGACCAACUCACAAAAAAAGAACCGACUCAUUCAAUCAUGUAUCAUGCAUAGCUAGUUCUUAUUCUAAAGUCAUUUAAGAAAAUACGAAACACACGACAUGAUUGGUGAAAUAGAAAAAAUGAUUAUCAGGUCGAUAAAUUGUAGUGUCCAUCACAAGGCAAGAUUCAGUAACAUUUUACUGGGGGUCAUGGCCUGGUAUAUUAGUUGCAACCAAGAGAUGGCGCUCCAUGGUUUACUUGGUCUAUUACACAAACACAAUGACACUCUCACAACUCUUCUCCGGUCUCGAAUCAAACGCAUUCAAACCCACUGAAACGGUUACCAACAUGAGAGUGCUAGAAACACCAACCUGAUUUUUGUUUCUCACAAUAUCAAAAUCUCAGUGUACCCCUUCCUAAACCCAUAUUCAAAAAU